Molecule: long non-coding RNA, 1138 nt
Organism: Malaclemys terrapin pileata
Lineage: Eukaryota; Metazoa; Chordata; Testudines; Emydidae
Exons: 4
Source: RefSeq, a predicted model, not a curated record
AAACCGCAGGGCCCUGCAUCCCCGCCCCAGGCCAGAGCGCCCUUGGCGCUGCGCGGCCUGAGCCCCCGGGGGCUCUCCCGCGGCCCGGCCGUGCGCUAGCCGAGCGGACGCUGCGCAUCGCCGGGGGUCAGGUCCCGUCCCUGGGGCUCUGCCGCGCCGCCCGGGAGCCGGGACACGCAGGGCCGCAGAAGCCGCUGACACCCCCUCUUUCCCCCCGCACAGUCCCUCUCCUCUGGCGGGCCCUGGGAGAUCGCCGCGUCCUGAGCUGGUCCCGUACGUGUGUCAAGCCCAGAUGGCAUUGUGUCAAAACGCCCGGGGUUGGUUUUGAUCUGGCAAAUGGAACACUGUGGUGGCUGCCAGAUGGACUUCAGUGGAGCUCAAGGAGAGACCUCCCUUUCUUCGGGGUACUCUAAAGUAUUCUAAAACUUCCAAGAUGGGAAAAUCCAUAGGAGACAGGUGUUGCUGAGUGCAUCAAUGGUAAAUCUUUUUCAUUUCUGAAGGUAAGUUUUCCUGGUGGAUUCCUUUCUACUGUCGAGCAGGACCUCCUGCACCUCCCUGGAACAGGAGAGCUCUAUCUCUGACAACCAUCCAGGUACCAGGCUUUGAGUCAGAGUUUUGAGAUGGGGUGAAGAAUGUUCCCUUUGUCCCACCCGAGAAGGCUAGACAUCAAUGGUAGAUUGAUAGCCAGUCGAGAGGAGCGGUGAAGGAGAUAAGGGAACCAUACUUAUCUUGGCCAGGUUGGUGCAAUCAAAAUGCCUGUGGCUCUGUCCUGUCUGAUUUUGUUCAGGUCCCUGAGGAUUAGCAGCACUGGAGGAAAGACAUAUAGAAGGUUCUUCGACCAUGAGAGGAGAAAGUCAUCCCCCCAAGAAUGAUGACCCAGACCUCCGUUUGAGCAGAAGUUCAUGAAUCUUCAGCUGGCAACAAUGGCAAAGGGAUCUAUCGCUGGAAAACCCCAGGUCUGACUUUGUCAAAGUAGGUUGUCCUUCAAGACAUCUCAUCCAAGAAGCUGAUCCUGCAAACACUUAGAAUGUACAUCACUUCAGUUGUCAAACUGGGAUCCAACAUAAAAAUAUUCUCCGAUUUAUUUUCUUCAGUGUGAGAAGGAUGUACUACACUAAGGACAAACUCUUCCAUUCCU